Myotis lucifugus (little brown bat) is the source of this 75-nucleotide non-coding RNA. The record is from Rfam. NCBI's taxonomy places the organism in Eukaryota, Metazoa, Chordata, Mammalia, Chiroptera, Vespertilionidae.
GGAGGUUCUCGAGUGACGCACCCUGGAAUCGGGCUCCCUCCUCUCUGGUUCCAGGUGCAUCACCCAAGAACCACA